RNAcentral lists this ribosomal RNA (186 nucleotides) under Triticum aestivum (bread wheat). RNAcentral's name for it is "partial small subunit ribosomal RNA". The record is from RNAcentral. Lineage: Eukaryota; Viridiplantae; Streptophyta; Magnoliopsida; Poales; Poaceae.
AUGAGGAAAGGCCUCAACUCCCUUGUAGCUCUCACCGCUUGGAGCAUCUGGAAGCAUCGCAAUGCCGCUCUCUUCGAUGACCUCCGGCCAUCUACCGACGCCCUUGUCCGCACCAUCAAGGAGGAAGCCCGGCUUUGGUCCAGAGCCAGCGCCCUAGGCCUAGCAUCUAUUAUCCCUGUAACCUAG